Molecule: ribosomal RNA, 462 nt
Filed under: uncultured bacterium
Lineage: Bacteria
Description: partial 16S ribosomal RNA
Rfam family: Bacterial small subunit ribosomal RNA
Source: RNAcentral
GACGAACGCUGGCGGCGUGCUUAACACAUGCGGGUCGAACGGAAAGGCCCUUCGGGGUACUCGAGUGGCGAACGGGUGAGUAACACGUGGGUGAUCUGCCCUGCACUUUGGGAUAAGCCUGGGAAACUGGGUCUAAUACCGAAUAUGAUCAUCGGCUUCAUGGUCGGUGGUGGAAAGCUUUUGCGGUGUGGGAUGGGCCCGCGGCCUAUCAGCUUGUUGGUGGGGUAAUGGCCUACCAAGGCGACGACGGGUAGCCGGCCUGAGAGGGUGACCGGCCACACUGGGACUGAGAUACGGCCCAGACUCCUACGGGAGGCAGCAGUGGGGAAUAUUGCACAAUGGGCGCAAGCCUGAUGCAGCGACGCCGCGUGAGGGAUGACGGCCUUCGGGUUGUAAACCUCUUUCAGCACAGACGAAGCGCAAGUGACGGUAUGUGCAGAAGAAGGACCGGCCAACUACGUG